AACUGGAGGACUUUAUGAUACUGUAUUUGAUGUUGACCAUGACAAAGAGAGAGCACAACAGUGUGGUCUUGGACCUAAUGGAUUCAGCUUUGAUGGAGCAGAUGCUGCCGGAGUUGAUUAUGCUCUGAAUAGAGCUCUCUCUGCUUGGUACGAUGGUCGAGAUUGGUUCAACUCUUUAUGCAAGCAGGUUAUGGAACAAGAUUGGUCUUGGAACCGACCUGCUCUUGAUUAUUUGGAGCUUUACCAUGCUGCUAGAAAGUUAACGUAGUUAGUUUGUGAGAUAGUAGCAGAAAGAUUCACGAGAUCUGCAGUCUGUACAGGUUCAGUGUUUGCGUCUGGACUGCUUUUUAUGUCCUAUAACAAAGUAUAAAUCCUGUCUACCCUGAGAUCGAUAGCAGACAGUACUCAGUUCAUUUCAUUUUUUGUGCAACAUAUGAAAUAGCUUAGCAUCUAAUAAUGUAGUCUAUUGAUGUUUA
RNAcentral lists this unclassified non-coding RNA (476 nucleotides) under Hevea brasiliensis (rubber tree). Lineage: Eukaryota; Viridiplantae; Streptophyta; Magnoliopsida; Malpighiales; Euphorbiaceae. The record is from RNAcentral.